UGUAUAUAUAUAUUUAUAGAGUUUGUACUCAAAUAUUAUUUUUCUAUUUUAUUUGGUAUGUGGACAUGCUAAAUCAAGUUGAAAAAUUGUCUUCUGUGUAGGUACCAAGGCAAAUGUAAAACCUUAAUGUACGAUGUUACAAAAAUAAUUUCAGCACUCAAAGGGAAAUGUGGAGACCAUCGUGCAUUUAGGUUGGCUGAAAACUUGUGCAUGAACCUUAUUCUGUCAUUGAGGGACUUUUUCUGGGUGAAAAGGGAAGGGAAGGGUCCAACUAAUUUUACAGAAACUUUGAACCGAAUCACUGUCAUUACUUAUGCUAUUAUGAUUAAAACACGUGGAAUUGCUGAUGUUGAUCACCUGCUUUAUUUUCAAACCAUGGUAGAACAAAUAAUGGGAGCUAGUCAGCAUACAUGGUCUGAGAAAACACUGCGCCAUUUCCCAUCUAUCCUUCGUGAUGCUGUGAUUGGCCGCUUGGAUAAGAGGAUUCUUCCAAUUCAAGCAUAGCAACAGGGAAUAUCAGAGGACUAACUUUUAAGGUGGAUGUCUAGAUUUAUUAGGAAGAAUACUGAGAAAAGAAACAUGAUUGAGUUUGUAGUGAUUUGGAGGAGAAUUAUGCUGUCUUAUUGAGAUUUGUUGUAUUUUAUAUUCUAAAGUUUAUGGAUUUAUAAUAUUGUAAUGAAUUUUUAUUGAGAAUUAUUUAGUCU
Molecule: long non-coding RNA, 704 nt
Organism: Humulus lupulus (European hop)
Lineage: Eukaryota; Viridiplantae; Streptophyta; Magnoliopsida; Rosales; Cannabaceae
Exons: 3
Source: RefSeq, a predicted model, not a curated record